AACGAACGCUGGCGGCAGGCCUAACACAUGCAGGUCGAGCGAACCCUUCGGGGUUAGCGGCGGACGGGUUAGUAACGCGUGGGAAUAUACCCUUUGGUACGGAAUAGCCUCGGGAAACUGAGAGUAAUACCGUAUGUGCCCUUCGGGGGAAAGAUUUAUCGCCAAAGGAUUAGCCCGCGUUGGAUUAGAUAGUUGGUGGGGUAAUGGCCUACCAAGUCUACGAUCCAUAGCUGGUUUGAGAGGAUGAUCAGCAACACUGGGACUGAGACACGGCCCAGACUCCUACGGGAGGCAGCAGUGGGGAAUCUUAGACAAUGGGCGCAAGCCUGAUCUAGCCAUGCCGCGUGGACGAUGAAGGCCUUAGGGUUGUAAAGUCCUUUCAGAUGGGAAGAUAAUGACGGUACCAUCAGAAGAAGCCCCGGCUAACUCCGUGCCAGCAGCCGCGGUAAUGUCUGUACU
RNAcentral lists this ribosomal RNA (459 nucleotides) under uncultured bacterium. RNAcentral describes it as "bacterial SSU rRNA". It matches the Rfam family "Bacterial small subunit ribosomal RNA", at positions 29 to 531 of the family's 1533-position model. The record is from RNAcentral.